AGGCCUUGAGCGGGAAUUGCGGAGCCAUGGCGGGGAAUCUGAAGGCGGGGGAGCUGCGCUCUGUGCUGCGGAGGUUGGACUCGGCCAACCGGGCUCUGGAGACAUGUAUUCAGUCACUUGGGGAAUGUCAGAAAACACUCCAAAAGUCAAUUCAGUGUCAGAACUACUUAAAUCACAGUAUCCAGCCUAUCAAAGCGGCAUUUGUGCCAAAUGAAAAUACUAGAACUGUUCCUGCAGCAAUUUAACUCUUCAUGUGUCACAGCAAUGUGUAGGAGUCAAAUUAUAAGUAUAUUCAUAUUUAUGUAUAAUUAACCUCAAACAUGCAAUGGAUGAAUUGAAACUGAACUUUUUCUCAAUUUCUGGAUGACUUUGUGUAGAGGGGAAUGUCAUUUUAAUUGUAGAAGAGUUGCAACUUGUAAUUGAAUUUCCUGAUGCUGUGCACUAGUAGUGUUCUCAAUUCUAGGCUCUAACUUCCAUAGUUAAUUUAUUUUGUAACAUGUACGGAUCUGUUGUAUUCCAAACAAUUCUUGGUAUAUUGAUUGAAUAAAGUUACAUAGGGAAAAGUUA
Long non-coding RNA from Gopherus flavomarginatus (Mexican gopher tortoise), 567 nucleotides. RefSeq lists it as uncharacterized. The transcript is spliced from 3 exons. The record is from RefSeq and is a predicted model, not a curated record. Lineage: Eukaryota; Metazoa; Chordata; Testudines; Testudinidae.